UAUGGUGACUAUAGCAUUGGGGUCCACCUCUUCCCAUUUCGAACAGAGAAGUUAAGCCCUUUAGCGCCGAUGGUACUACUAUAACAGGUGGGAGAGUAGGUCGUUGCCAGAC
This 112-nucleotide ribosomal RNA is filed under the name Flammeovirgaceae bacterium. Lineage: Bacteria; Pseudomonadati; Bacteroidota; Cytophagia; Cytophagales; Flammeovirgaceae. The record is from RNAcentral.